Molecule: ribosomal RNA, 477 nt
Filed under: Paenibacillus sp. oral taxon E29
Lineage: Bacteria; Bacillati; Bacillota; Bacilli; Caryophanales; Paenibacillaceae
Description: bacterial SSU rRNA
Rfam family: Bacterial small subunit ribosomal RNA
Source: RNAcentral
GACGAACGCGGGCGGCGUGCCUAAUACAUGCAAGUCGAGCGGAUCUUGUCCUUCGGGAUAAGGUUAGCGGCGGACGGGUGAGUAACACGUAGGCAACCUGCCCUCGAGACUGGGAUAACCUCCGGAAACGGAUGCUAAUACCAGAUACGCGAUCUUCCCACCUGGGGAGAUCGGGAAAGACGGAGCAAUCUGUUACUCGGGGAUGGGCCUGCGGCGCAUUAGCUAGUUGGUGAGGUAACGGCUCACCAAGGCGACGAUGCGCAGCCGACCUGAGAGGGUGAUCGGCCACACUGGGACUGAGACACGGCCCAGACUCCUACGGGAGGCAGCAGUAGGGAAUCUUCCGCAAUGGACGAAAGUCUGACGGAGCAACGCCGCGUGAGUGAGGAAGGCCUUCGGGUCGUAAAGCUCUGUUGCCAGGGAAGAACGCUUGGGAGAGUAACUGCUCUCAAGGUGACGGACCUGAGAAGAAAGCCC